GCGGUAACAGAAAGUAGCUUGCUACUUUGCUGACGAGCGGCGGACGGGUGAGUAAUGCUUGGGAACAUGCCUUGAGGUGGGGGACAACAGUUGGAAACGACUGCUAAUACCGCAUAAUGUCUACGGACCAAAGGGGGCUUCGGCUCUCGCCUUUAGAUUGGCCCAAGUGGGAUUAGCUAGUUGGUGAGGUAAUGGCUCACCAAGGCGACGAUCCCUAGCUGGUUUGAGAGGAUGAUCAGCCACACUGGGACUGAGACACGGCCCAGACUCCUACGGGAGGCAGCAGUGGGGAAUAUUGCACAAUGGGCGCAAGCCUGAUGCACCCAUGCCGCGUGUGUGAAGAAGGCCUUCGGGUUGUAAAGCACUUUCAGUCAGGAGGAAAGGUUGAUAGUUAAUACCCGUUAUGUGUGACGUUACUGACAGAAGAAGCACCGGCUAACUCCGUGCCAGCAGCCGCGGUAAUACGGAGGGUGCGAGCGUUAAUCGGAAUUACUGGGCGUAAAGCGUACGCAGGCGGUUUGUUAAGCGAGAUGUGAAAGCCCCGGGCUCAACCUGGGAACUGCAUUUCGAACUGGCAAACUAGAGUGUGAUAGAGGGUGGUAGAAUUUCAGGUGUAGCGGUGAAAUGCGUAGAGAUCUGAAGGAAUACCGAUGGCGAAGGCAGCCACCUGGGUCAACACUGACGCUCAUGUACGAAAGCGUGCGGAGCAAACGGGAUUAGAUACCCCGGUAGUCCACGCCGUACACGAUGUCUACUAGAAGCUCGGAGCCUCGGUUCUGUUUUUCAAAGCUAACGCAUUAAGUAGACCGCCUGGGGAGUACGGCCGCAAGGUUAAAACUCACAUGAAUUGACGGGGGCCCGCACAAGCGGUGGAGCAUGUGGUUUAAUUCUAUGCAACGCGCAGAACCUUACCUACACUUGACAUACAGAGAACUUACCAGAGAUGGUUUGGUGCCUUCGGGAACUCUGAUACAGGUGCUGCAUGGCUGUCGUCAGCUCGUGUUGUGAGAUGUUGGGUUAAGUCCCGCAACGAGCGCAACCCCUAUCCUUAGUUGCUAGCAGGUAAUGCUGAGAACUCUAAGGAGACUGCCGGUGAUAAACCGGAGGAAGGUGGGGACGACGUCCAGUCAUCAUGGCCCUUACGUGUAGGGCUAC
RNAcentral lists this ribosomal RNA (1155 nucleotides) under Pseudoalteromonas sp. RNAcentral describes it as "bacterial SSU rRNA". It matches the Rfam family "Bacterial small subunit ribosomal RNA", at positions 66 to 1217 of the family's 1533-position model. The record is from RNAcentral. Lineage: Bacteria; Pseudomonadati; Pseudomonadota; Gammaproteobacteria; Alteromonadales; Pseudoalteromonadaceae.